RNAcentral lists this ribosomal RNA (948 nucleotides) under Salmonella enterica. RNAcentral describes it as "partial 23S ribosomal RNA". It matches the Rfam family "Bacterial large subunit ribosomal RNA", at positions 1918 to 2860 of the family's 2925-position model. Lineage: Bacteria; Pseudomonadati; Pseudomonadota; Gammaproteobacteria; Enterobacterales; Enterobacteriaceae. The record is from RNAcentral. RNAcentral also lists the same sequence under 4 other names.
CCCCGGUAAACGGCGGCCGUAACUAUAACGGUCCUAAGGUAGCGAAAUUCCUUGUCGGGUAAGUUCCGACCUGCACGAAUGGCGUAAUGAUGGCCAGGCUGUCUCCACCCGAGACUCAGUGAAAUUGAACUCGCUGUGAAGAUGCAGUGUACCCGCGGCAAGACGGAAAGACCCCGUGAACCUUUACUAUAGCUUGACACUGAACAUUGAGCCUUGAUGUGUAGGAUAGGUGGGAGGCUUUGAAGUGUGGACGCCAGUCUGCAUGGAGCCGACCUUGAAAUACCACCCUUUAAUGUUUGAUGUUCUAACGUGGACCCGUAAUCCGGGUUGCGGACAGUGUCUGGUGGGUAGUUUGACUGGGGCGGUCUCCUCCUAAAGAGUAACGGAGGAGCACGAAGGUUGGCUAAUCCUGGUCGGACAUCAGGAGGUUAGUGCAAUGGCAUAAGCCAGCUUGACUGCGAGCGUGACGGCGCGAGCAGGUGCGAAAGCAGGUCAUAGUGAUCCGGUGGUUCUGAAUGGAAGGGCCAUCGCUCAACGGAUAAAAGGUACUCCGGGGAUAACAGGCUGAUACCGCCCAAGAGUUCAUAUCGACGGCGGUGUUUGGCACCUCGAUGUCGGCUCAUCACAUCCUGGGGCUGAAGUAGGUCCCAAGGGUAUGGCUGUUCGCCAUUUAAAGUGGUACGCGAGCUGGGUUUAGAACGUCGUGAGACAGUUCGGUCCCUAUCUGCCGUGGGCGCUGGAGAACUGAGGGGGGCUGCUCCUAGUACGAGAGGACCGGAGUGGACGCAUCACUGGUGUUCGGGUUGUCAUGCCAAUGGCACUGCCCGGUAGCUAAAUGCGGAAGAGAUAAGUGCUGAAAGCAUCUAAGCACGAAACUUGCCCCGAGAUGAGUUCUCCCUGAGACUUAGAGUCUCCUGAAGGAACGUUGAAGACGACGACGUUGAUAGG